RNAcentral lists this ribosomal RNA (303 nucleotides) under Triticum aestivum (bread wheat). RNAcentral's name for it is "partial small subunit ribosomal RNA". The record is from RNAcentral. Lineage: Eukaryota; Viridiplantae; Streptophyta; Magnoliopsida; Poales; Poaceae.
AUGUCUUCAUCCUCCGGCGCUUCCCAAACCAGCCUCAAUGGCCAAGUUACCGAGAAGCUGACGCGCACAAACUCUGUGCUAUGGCGCACGCAAGUGAUUCCCCAGCUGCGUGGCGCCGGUGUCUUCGGCUACGUCGACGGCACUCAGCCGGAGCCGGCAAGACUCCUCGUCACCGCCAAGGAAGGCAAGGAGGUGUCAUCGCCCAACCCUCUCCACCCAAUCUGGGUCAGGGAGGAUCAGCAGGUUCUUGGAUACCUGCUGAACAAUCUGACGCGUGAGGUGCUGCUCACGGUGACCAUGGUC